UAAUAAUUACUCUGUUACAAGGUAGUCAACCAGAUAAUCCAGAUGUUGGUUGCAUACUGUUACAAUUAUUAGCACAAAAGCACAACAUUGUUUUACAAAUUCUUACAGCUCAAAUCACUGAGACUACUUCCCUUGGGUUCUCAGACUUCACUCGAAAUCACUGCAUUAAUCCAUUGGUUUACAGAACAAGUGCAGGCACUGAGGAGGCCUUGGCUGUGCUGACAAAGAGUUAACAACAAAGAGCACAACAGGUAAAAGUUUGCCCCAAGGAGUAUUAAUUCCCCCACACUUCCAAGAACUACAGUGCAUCUGCCCAGAAGGCUGCACCAGCUUCUCACCCCACAGACAGACAAGGGAGGUCCCAAGAGGAACCUGAGGCAUGCUGCAGUCAGCCAAAAGGUGAGAGGGAGGACGCAUUCCUCUGAGGCAAGAGCAUCUUUCCCCUACAAGAAGAACACUGAAAGUCAACAUUUUACUUCCCUUUGUCUGGCAGGAAGAUGUAUGUGCUGGUGGUGACUAUGAAAGUGUUUAUGACCCAAACAAUAAGCCAAAAUUAAUGAUCAACAAAAACUUAG
Molecule: long non-coding RNA, 575 nt
Organism: Panthera uncia (snow leopard)
Lineage: Eukaryota; Metazoa; Chordata; Mammalia; Carnivora; Felidae
Exons: 3
Source: RefSeq, a predicted model, not a curated record